UGGCUGCCUCUCAAAAAAGAGGAGGUAUGUGAAUUUCUUGUCAAGUUCCAUGCCCAUAGGGAGUUUUGUGUUAGGCUGAAGUAAAAGUCAGUGAAUGAUUCAGGAGUUCAGAAUUGGGCUGCAACAGUAUUUCAGAAACUUCUCCUGAAUUUCUGCAAGAAACUUGGAACAGAGGGACCAAAUUUCCUGAGAAGACUGAUCCCUGAUAAAGAUGAUUGGUGAAGAUGAAGUGUGUUAGCUAUAUCUAAUUAAUGUUAUUGUUAUUGUAGAGAGAGAA
This 277-nucleotide long non-coding RNA is filed under the name Monodelphis domestica (gray short-tailed opossum). Its description in RNAcentral is "lncRNA (ENSMODG00000030921.2)". The record is from RNAcentral. Lineage: Eukaryota; Metazoa; Chordata; Mammalia; Didelphimorphia; Didelphidae.